UACGUAGGCAGCGAGCGUUGUUCGGAGUUACUGGGCGUAAAGAGUGCGUAGGCGGUUCCGUAAGUUCGGUGUGAAAUCUCCCGGCUCAACUGGGAGGGUGCGCCGAAAACUACUGGACUUGAGCACGGGAGAGGAAAGCGGAAUUCCUGGUGUAGCGGUGAAAUGCGUAGAGAUCAGGAGGAACACCGGUGGUGUAGACGGCUUUCUGGACCGUUGCUGACGCUGAGGCACGAAAGCGUGGGGAGCAAACAGGAUUAGAUACCCCCGUA
RNAcentral lists this ribosomal RNA (269 nucleotides) under uncultured prokaryote. RNAcentral's name for it is "partial 16S ribosomal RNA". It matches the Rfam family "Bacterial small subunit ribosomal RNA", at positions 524 to 792 of the family's 1533-position model. The record is from RNAcentral.